This 197-nucleotide unclassified non-coding RNA is filed under the name uncultured Basidiomycota. RNAcentral describes it as "sequence contains ITS2". Lineage: Eukaryota; Fungi; Basidiomycota. The record is from RNAcentral.
AUUCCUCCACCUUCGACCUUUUUGUGUCGCGAGGCUGGGACUUGGGGGUGUCUUGCGGGCCUUUGAAAGGUCCGCUCCCCUUGAAUGCGUUAGUGAAGCCUUUUGCGUCGGGCCUCGGUGUGAUAGACAUCUACUCCGUGAGCCGCGCGAGUCGGGGCGGCGCUCACAACCGUCCGCAUGGACAGCACAUUUUGAAC